This 460-nucleotide ribosomal RNA is filed under the name uncultured bacterium. RNAcentral's name for it is "partial 16S ribosomal RNA". It matches the Rfam family "Bacterial small subunit ribosomal RNA", at positions 338 to 795 of the family's 1533-position model. The record is from RNAcentral.
CCUACGGGAGGCAGCAGUGAGGAAUAUUGGUCAAUGGACGAGAGUCUGAACCAGCCAAGUAGCGUGAAGGAUGACUGCCCUAUGGGUUGUAAACUUCUUUUAUAAAGGAAUAAAACGAGGCACGUGUGCCUUUUUGCAUGUACUUUAUGAAUAAGGAUCGGCUAACUCCGUGCCAGCAGCCGCGGUAAUACGGAGGAUCCGAGCGUUAUCCGGAUUGAUUGGGUUUAAAGGGAGCGUAGAUGGGUUGUUAAGUCAGUUGUUCAAGUUUGCGGCUCAACCGUAAAAUUGCAAUUGAUACUGGCAGUCUUGAGUACAGUUGAGGUAGGCGGAAUUCGUGGUGUAGCGGUGAAAUGCUUAGAUAUCACGAAGAACCCCGAUUGCGAAGGCAGCUUACUAAACUGUGACUGACAUUGAUGCUCGAAAGUGUGGGUAUCAAACAGGAUUAGAUACCCCUGUAGUC